CGCGAAUUCGCCCUUCGGGGUGCACCAGGCGCGAAAACUUUACAAUGCUGGCAACAGCGAUAAGGGGACCUCGAGUGCCAGGAUACAAUCCUGGCUGUCGUAAUGCCUAAAAAGCAUUGCAUAGCAAGGGCCGGGCAAGACCGGUGCCAGCCGCCGCGGUAACACCGGCGGCUCGAGUGGUAACCGCUAUUAUUGGGUCUAAAGGGUCUGUAGCCGGCUGACUAAGUCUCUUGGGAAAUCUGGCAGCUCAACUGUCAGGCUUUCAGGAGAUACUGAUCGGCUCGAGACCGGGAGAGGCGAGAGGUACCUCAGGGGUAGGGGUGAAAUCUUGUAAUCCUUGAGGGACCACCAGUGGCGAAGGCGUCUCACCAGAACGGAUCUGGCGGCAAGGGACGAAAGCUAGGGGCACGAACCGGAUUAGAUACCCGGGUAGUCCUAGCCGUAAACGAUACUCGCUAGGUGUCGGCCACGGUGCGACCGUGGUCGGUGCCGUAGGGAAGCCGUGAAGCGAGCCACCUGGGAAGUACGGCCGCAAGGCUGAAACUUAAAGGAAUUGGCGGGGGAGCAC
RNAcentral lists this ribosomal RNA (568 nucleotides) under uncultured archaeon. Its description in RNAcentral is "bacterial SSU rRNA". It matches the Rfam family "Archaeal small subunit ribosomal RNA", at positions 311 to 879 of the family's 1478-position model. The record is from RNAcentral.